ACGCCAGACUCCUACGGGAGGCAGCAGUGGGGAAUAUUGCACAAUGGGGGGAACCCUGAUGCAGCGACGCCGCGUGAGUGAAGAAGUCAUUCGUGAUGUAAAGCUCUAUCAGCAGGGAAGAAAAUGACGGUACCUGACUAAGAAGCCCCGGCUAACUACGUGCCAGCAGCCGCGGUAAUACGUAGGGGGCAAGCGUUAUCCGGAUUUACUGGGUGUAAAGGGAGCGUAGACGGCAGCGCAAGUCCGAAGUGAAAGCCCGGGGCCCAACCCCGGGACUGCUUUGGAAACUGUGAAGCUGGAGUGCGGGAGGGGCAGGCGGAAUUCCUGGUGUAGCGGUGAAAUGCGUAGAUAUCAGGAGGAACACCGGCGGCGAAGGCGGCCUGCUGGACCGUAACUGACGUUGAGGCUCGAAAGCGUGGGGAGCAAACAGGAUUAGAUACCCGAGUACU
RNAcentral lists this ribosomal RNA (449 nucleotides) under uncultured bacterium. Its description in RNAcentral is "bacterial SSU rRNA". It matches the Rfam family "Bacterial small subunit ribosomal RNA", at positions 328 to 794 of the family's 1533-position model. The record is from RNAcentral.